RNAcentral lists this ribosomal RNA (569 nucleotides) under uncultured bacterium. RNAcentral's name for it is "bacterial SSU rRNA". It matches the Rfam family "Bacterial small subunit ribosomal RNA", at positions 338 to 916 of the family's 1533-position model. The record is from RNAcentral.
CCUACGGGAGGCAGCAGUGGGGAAUAUUGCGCAAUGGGCGAAAGCCUGACGCAGCGACGCCGCGUGAGGGACGACGGCCUUCGGGUUGUAAACCUCUUUCAGCAGGGACGAAGCGAAAGUGACGGUACCUGCAGAAGAAGCACCGGCCAACUACGUGCCAGCAGCCGCGGUAAUACGUAGGGUGCAAGCGUUGUCCGGAAUUAUUGGGCGUAAAGAGCUCGUAGGCGGUUUGUCACGUCGGAUGUGAAAACUCGGGGCUCAACUCCGAGCCUGCAUACGAUACGGGCAGACUUGAGUUCGGCAGGGGAGACUGGAAUUCCUGGUGUAGCGGUGAAAUGCGCAGAUAUCAGGAGGAACACCGGUGGCGAAGGCGGGUCUCUGGGCCGAUACUGACGCUGAGGAGCGAAAGCGUGGGGAGCAAACAGGAUUAGAUACCCUGGUAGUCCACGCCGUAAACGGUGGGUGCUAGGUGUGGGGAACAUUCCACGUUCUCCGUGCCGCAGCUAACGCAUUAAGCACCCCGCCUGGGGAGUACGGCCGCAAGGCUAAAACUUAAAGGAAAUUGACGG